AUUGAACGCUGGCGGCAUGCCUUACACAUGCAAGUCGAACGGCAGCACGGGUGCUUGCACCUGGUGGCGAGUGGCGAACGGGUGAGUAAUACAUCGGAACGUACCAUAUCGUGGGGGAUAACGCAGCGAAAGCUGUGCUAAUACCGCAUACGCCCUGAGGGGGAAAGCGGGGGAUCGCAAGCACUCGCGCGAUUAGAGCGGCCGAUGCCUGAUUAGCUAGUUGGUGGGGUAAAAGCCCACCAAGGCGACGAUCAGUAGCUGGUCUGAGAGGACGAUCAGCCACACUGGGACUGAGACACGGCACAGACUCCUACGGGAGGCAGCAGUGGGGAAUUUUGGACAAUGGGGGCAACCCUGAUCCAGCAAUGCCGCGUGAGUGAAGAGGCCUUCGGGUUGUAAAGCUCUUUUGUCAGGGAAGAAACACCGGCUCUAACACAGUCCGGGAAUGACGGUACCUGAAGAAUAAGCACCGGCUAACUACGUGCCAGCCGCCGCGGUAA
RNAcentral lists this ribosomal RNA (500 nucleotides) under uncultured bacterium. Its description in RNAcentral is "partial 16S ribosomal RNA". It matches the Rfam family "Bacterial small subunit ribosomal RNA", at positions 29 to 523 of the family's 1533-position model. The record is from RNAcentral.